This 320-nucleotide long non-coding RNA is filed under the name Elaeis guineensis (African oil palm). RNAcentral describes it as "long non-coding RNA (EGUI_LNC004737)". The record is from RNAcentral. Lineage: Eukaryota; Viridiplantae; Streptophyta; Magnoliopsida; Arecales; Arecaceae.
GGACACCGUAACUUCUUUCCAAUGUCUUCCUCCUUUCUUCCUCUUUUCUUCCUAACAUCUCCAUACCGAAGACCUGAUAUGAGAUCAGAUCUAAGAGAGAAAAAGAGAGAGAAGAAGAGAAGAAGAAAGAUUUCUUUUUCUUUCUUGGUGAUCUGGUUCAAAUCCUGUUGAAUCUGUGCAAAGGAGUUCGCGUAGCAAUCUUCUUCUUUGAGAUCUAGAAGAAGAGAUGCAGAACCAAAGCUGAGGAGCGAGAUCUGCAAGAUGCUAGCACAUCAGUAAUUUCGAUGCUCUGAUUAGACUUCUUCGUGUGGAUACCAGUA